AUAACAAUAUAGGACUCUUUCAAGGCCCUGUAAUUGGAAUGAGUACACUUUAAAUGCUUUAACGAGGAUCUAUUGGAGGGCAAGUCUGGUGCAGAGCGACUGACCCGUGCGUGUGCAGCUGAAACUCCACUAUUGCCUGCUGCUG
RNAcentral lists this ribosomal RNA (145 nucleotides) under Pelobates cultripes (western spadefoot toad). RNAcentral's name for it is "SSU_rRNA_eukarya". The record is from RNAcentral. Lineage: Eukaryota; Metazoa; Chordata; Amphibia; Anura; Pelobatidae.